This 497-nucleotide ribosomal RNA is filed under the name uncultured bacterium. RNAcentral's name for it is "partial 16S ribosomal RNA". It matches the Rfam family "Bacterial small subunit ribosomal RNA", at positions 28 to 507 of the family's 1533-position model. The record is from RNAcentral.
GAUGAACGCUGGCGGCGUGCCUAAUACAUGCAAGUCGAGCGAACGGUCGAGAAGCUUGCUUCUCUGAUGUUAGCGGCGGACGGGUGAGUAACACGUGGAUAACCUACCUAUAAGACUGGGAUAACUUCGGGAAACCGGAGCUAAUACCGGAUAAUAUUUUGAACCGCAUGGUUUAAAAGUGAAAGACGGUCUUGCUGUCACUUAUAGAUGGAUCCGCGCUGCAUUAGCUAGUUGGUAAGGUAACGGCUUACCAAGGCAACGAUGCAUAGCCGACCUGAGAGGGUGAUCGGCCACACUGGAACUGAGACACGGUCCAGACUCCUACGGGAGGCAGCAGUAGGGAAUCUUCCGCGAUGGGCGAAAGCCUGACGGAGCAACGCCGCGUGAGUGAUGAAGGUCUUCGGAUCGUAAAACUCUGUUAUUAGGGAAGAACAUAUGUGUAAGUAACUGUGCACAUCUUGACGGUACCUAAUCAGAAAGCCACGGCUAACUACGUG